UACAGAGGGGGCUAGCGUUGUUCGGAAUCACUGGGCGUAAAGCGCGUGUAGGCGGUUUGACAAGUCAGAUGUGAAAUCCCGGGGCUUAACCUCGGAACUGCAUUUGAAACUGUCAGGCUAGAGUACGGUAGGGGAUAGUGGAAUUCCUAGUGUAGAGGUGAAAUUCGUAGAUAUUAGGAGGAACACCGAUGGCGAAGGCAGCUAUCUGGGCCGUUACUGACGCUGAGACGCGAAAGCGUGGGGAGCAAACAGG
This 253-nucleotide ribosomal RNA is filed under the name uncultured bacterium. Its description in RNAcentral is "partial 16S ribosomal RNA". It matches the Rfam family "Bacterial small subunit ribosomal RNA", at positions 524 to 776 of the family's 1533-position model. The record is from RNAcentral.